Molecule: non-coding RNA, 338 nt
Organism: Pogona vitticeps (central bearded dragon)
Lineage: Eukaryota; Metazoa; Chordata; Lepidosauria; Squamata; Agamidae
Source: RefSeq, a predicted model, not a curated record
CCAGAGACGGGGGCUGCGAAGUGAAGAGUUUUGUGUUGCAACCUCAAAAGCCCGGAGUUUUGCAAAGCGAAGAUGGCAAAUUCACCAUAAUGGUUAUUAAAACCGACAACAACCAUAAUAUGGUUACCCACUCUGAAAUAGGGGACUUGGUCCUUCUGCAGCUGUUUGCCAAAGGAAAGAAGAUGCAGGAUGGAUGGGAGGGCCAUUAUUCUGAUAUUCAAAAGGAACUGGGAUUCAGCCCGAAGAAGUUACACUAUCUACUUGAAUCUGAUCUCUGCACAACCCCGCCGAAGUAGGCUUAGGGUGAUGAUCGUGAACGCAGGGAUUGGGGGUGUUGG